CUUCACCUACGGGGAGCAGCAGUAGGGAAUCUUCCACAAUGGGGGAAACCCUGAUGCAGCAACGCCGCGUGAGUGAAGAAGUAUUUCGGUAUGUAAAGCUCUAUCAGCAGGGAAGAAGAUGACGGUACCUGAAUAAGAAGCCCCGGCUAACUACGUGCCAGCAGCCGCGGUAAUACGUAGGGGGCAAGCGUUAUCCGGAUUUACUGGGUGUAAAGGGAGCGCAGACGGCAGUGCAAGUCUGGAGUGAAAGCCCGGGGCCCAACCCCGGAACUGCUCUGGAAACUGUGCGGCUAGAGUACUGGAGG
RNAcentral lists this ribosomal RNA (305 nucleotides) under uncultured bacterium. RNAcentral's name for it is "bacterial SSU rRNA". It matches the Rfam family "Bacterial small subunit ribosomal RNA", at positions 333 to 655 of the family's 1533-position model. The record is from RNAcentral.